UACGUAGGUGACAAGCGUUGUCCGGAUUGACUGGGCGUAAAGCGCACGCAGGCGGUCGCGCGCGUGGGGUGUGAAAUCUGGCCGCUUAACGGCCAGGCGCCAUCCCAUACGGCGCGACUGGAGUGAUGCAGAGGUCGAUGGAAUUGCCGGUGUAGUGGUGAAAUGCGUAGAGAUCGGCAGGAACACCCAGGGGGAAACCAGCCGACUGGGCAUUUGCUGACGCUGAGGUGCGAGAGCGUGGGGAGCGAACCGG
RNAcentral lists this ribosomal RNA (253 nucleotides) under uncultured bacterium. Its description in RNAcentral is "partial 16S ribosomal RNA". It matches the Rfam family "Bacterial small subunit ribosomal RNA", at positions 524 to 776 of the family's 1533-position model. The record is from RNAcentral.